This 123-nucleotide non-coding RNA is filed under the name Haemonchus placei. Its description in RNAcentral is "Eukaryotic large subunit ribosomal RNA". It matches the Rfam family "Eukaryotic large subunit ribosomal RNA", at positions 2198 to 2321 of the family's 3401-position model. The record is from Rfam by way of RNAcentral. Lineage: Eukaryota; Metazoa; Nematoda; Chromadorea; Rhabditida; Trichostrongylidae.
CUGCCCAGAGCUCUGAAUGUUAAAUCGUAGUAAUUCGAGUAAGCGCGGGUAAACGGCGGGAGUAACUAUGACUCUCUUAAGGUAGCCAAAUGCCUCGUCAGCUAACUGAGGGCAACAGCAAUG